AAUAGAGAGGCUGACCAUAACUGCCCCACGGAGCUCCCAUUCAUUCCAAAGGUUCCGUAUGCUUUCAGGGAUAAUUUCAACCAAUCCCCUGUGGUUAAUGAAGAUCAAACUGCUAACAACAGUAGAUAGCAUGGAUUCUCUACUCUUUACUUUUGCAGCAACCUGAUAAUGGGUUUGAGAACCCUCAAUUCUUCCCACUUUUGGUAAUUUCAGAACCUCCAAAAAGAAUUUCUUUUGCUUGGCACCAAGCUCCUAAGCUUUGCUGCAAUUUUACGCGAGGGACAUUUCUUCCUCCAUGAUUUUAACUGAAAUUGCUGAUUGGCCGGGUGUAUGUAUAGGGAAGAGUUACUCUUCCUCCUCG
Molecule: unclassified non-coding RNA, 361 nt
Filed under: Hevea brasiliensis (rubber tree)
Lineage: Eukaryota; Viridiplantae; Streptophyta; Magnoliopsida; Malpighiales; Euphorbiaceae
Source: RNAcentral